RNAcentral lists this long non-coding RNA (668 nucleotides) under Equus caballus (horse). Its description in RNAcentral is "lncRNA (ENSECAG00000059251.1)". The record is from RNAcentral. Lineage: Eukaryota; Metazoa; Chordata; Mammalia; Perissodactyla; Equidae.
GUGAGUUCCACCCAAAGGCUUUGCUUCUUCCAGCUGGCCCUGUCUGCUCCCCAGAGAGCCCCAGCUCCGCCCAACCUUCCCAAUCCCCCAGAAGCCGGGCUCCUCCAGGCAGGCGGCUUAACAGCCAUUCCUGAAAUCGCAUCUCACUCACUCAAGACAGGGCAUCAUGCCCCCACCCCCACCCCUACCCCUACCCCUACCCCUACCCUCACUGGCCUUGAGGAUAAGGAGCAAGUUCAAUUCCAAUUCAAACACCUGGAAACUCUGCAAGCUCUGCUCCCGCCUCCAGCCUCCCCCUUGGAGGGGCUGCAUCUGCUCCAGGGGAGCCGUCUUGGUUUCCGCUGUUGCUGUUGGCCCGAGUUGCUGGCACACGAUGGGAGCCGUGCCUUGAAAAGCAGCAGAGAUCAGAGGAAACCAAGUGGAGCUUUUGGAGCAACAGAGAAGACAGGUCUGCAGAGCAGAGGCGCUCUGAGGCCAACAGAAGGAAGGAAGAAACACGGGCUCCUCUGCCUCUGGGUCACAACCAGCUCACAAAUACCGGUUCAUUCACACACAUGCACACACUCACACACACUCAUACACGAUGGAAUCUCUUCCCUGAACCCCCACUGCCCUCCUCCUUCACCUCCUGCCCCCCCGACACACACACACACAAAGAAGCAAUCUGG